CACGUAGGGUGCGAGCGUUGUCCGGAAUUAUUGGGCGUAAAGAGCGUGUAGGCGGUUCGGUAGGUCCGUUGUGAAAACUCGAGGCUCAACCUCGAGACGCCGAUGGAAACCCUCGAACUAGAGUCCGGAAGAGGAGAGUGGAAUUCCUGGUGUAGCGGUGAAAUGCGCAGAUAUCAGGAAGAACACCCGUGGCUAAGGCGGCUCUCUAGUACGGUACUGACGCUGAGACGCGAAAGCGUGGGGAGCGAACAGG
This 253-nucleotide ribosomal RNA is filed under the name uncultured bacterium. RNAcentral's name for it is "partial 16S ribosomal RNA". It matches the Rfam family "Bacterial small subunit ribosomal RNA", at positions 524 to 776 of the family's 1533-position model. The record is from RNAcentral.